AACGCACCUUGCACCCUUUGGUAUUCCGAAGGGUAUGCCUGUUUGAGUGUCUUGAACAUCUCAAAUGCCCAAUGUUUUGUUUAAAACGUCGUGGUAUUUGGUUUUUGAGCAUUGCCAAUUUAAAUGCUAUUGGCUUGCUUUAAAUGAAUUAGCUGGGCGCAUUUACAAGUUAAGUCUCACAAGCGUAAUAAUCUUAUUUCGUUUGGUUCUUUUUCUUCUCUUUGCAAAGAGGGAGGGAAAAGGGGGGCUGUUUGUGUAAAUCGUUUGCUUCUGAGCAUACAUAUCUCAUUUCAUCAGACCUCAAAUCAGGUAGGACUACCCGCUGAACUUAA
Molecule: unclassified non-coding RNA, 332 nt
Filed under: uncultured fungus
Lineage: Eukaryota; Fungi
Description: partial contains 5.8S ribosomal RNA, internal transcribed spacer 2, and large subunit ribosomal RNA
Rfam family: 5.8S ribosomal RNA (bases 1-52)
Source: RNAcentral